RNAcentral lists this ribosomal RNA (819 nucleotides) under Agrococcus jenensis. RNAcentral describes it as "bacterial SSU rRNA". It matches the Rfam family "Bacterial small subunit ribosomal RNA", at positions 119 to 946 of the family's 1533-position model. Lineage: Bacteria; Bacillati; Actinomycetota; Actinomycetes; Micrococcales; Microbacteriaceae. The record is from RNAcentral.
GAGCAAUGUGCCCUUGACUCUGGGAUAAGCGCUGGAAACGGCGUCUAAUACCGGAUACGACGACCGGAGGCAUCUCCUGGUCGUGGAAAGAACUUCGGUCAAGGAUCAGCUCACGGCCUAUCAGCUAGUUGGUGAGGUAACGGCUCACCAAGGCGACGACGGGUAGCCGGCCUGAGAGGGUGACCGGCCACACUGGGACUGAGACACGGCCCAGACUCCUACGGGAGGCAGCAGUGGGGAAUAUUGCACAAUGGGCGCAAGCCUGAUGCAGCAACGCCGCGUGAGGGACGAAGGCCUUCGGGUUGUAAACCUCUUUUAGCAGGGAAGAAGCGAAAGUGACGGUACCUGCAGAAAAAGCACCGGCUAACUACGUGCCAGCAGCCGCGGUAAUACGUAGGGUGCAAGCGUUGUCCGGAAUUAUUGGGCGUAAAGAGCUCGUAGGCGGUUUGUCACGUCUGCUGUGAAAACCCGAGGCUCAACCUCGGGCUUGCAGUGGGUACGGGCAGACUAGAGUGCGGUAGGGGAGAUUGGAAUUCCUGGUGUAGCGGUGGAAUGCGCAGAUAUCAGGAGGAACACCGAUGGCGAAGGCAGAUCUCUGGGCCGUAACUGACGCUGAGGAGCGAAAGCAUGGGGAGCAAACAGGCUUAGAUACCCUGGUAGUCCAUGCCGUAAACGUUGGGAACUAGAUGUGGGGACCAUUCCACGGUCUCCGUGUCGUAGCUAACGCAUUAAGUUCCCCGCCUGGGGGAGUACGGGCCGCAAGGCUAAAACUCAAAGGAAUUGACGGGGGGCCCGCACAAGCGGGCGGAGCAUGGCGGA